Melanotaenia boesemani (Boeseman's rainbowfish) is the source of this 580-nucleotide long non-coding RNA. RefSeq lists it as uncharacterized. The transcript is spliced from 2 exons. NCBI's taxonomy places the organism in Eukaryota, Metazoa, Chordata, Actinopteri, Atheriniformes, Melanotaeniidae. The record is from RefSeq and is a predicted model, not a curated record.
AAAUCUUCUGCUUUCAACAAGCAGGCCAUGGAACCACAUAAAUAAAUAAAUAAACCACACACCCACUGAAAAAAAAACAAAAACAAAAAAACAUAAGCUGCUUGUGCCACCGUUGUGUUGACUGUGGAUCAUCAUCAGAACGUCUGCCAGCAUGAUGAUGGUCUAAAUGUGACAUCCUGUCUGAAGAUGCUCAAAGAUGUAGCACAUGGCUGCAGGCAGACUCAAGUCCAGAUUAAAUAAUUACUUUCACCAUAGUCUUUUAACGUUGUUAUGCAAAUGAGCUGAAAUAUCAUUCAGAUGUGCUGCUGAUUUAAAUAUGUAUAUAUAUAUAUAUAUAUAUCAACUAAGCCUUUUAACAAAAUGACAAAACAUUAGUGACAUAACGACAAAGCAGUUUGUCAUUUUCUAAAACAUUUAAUCUGUGUUUGAAUGGUUUUUGCAGAAAUGAUGAAAAUAAACAUUUCUUGUAUUGUUUCUUAAAAACAGAAUGUUGAAAAGUAAUUAUAUUUUUCAAUAAUAUAAACCAUCUCAGGUUCUUUUAUUUUAUUUUUCUUUCCACCAAUAAAAUGAAGCAGAAAUA